This 481-nucleotide ribosomal RNA is filed under the name uncultured bacterium. RNAcentral's name for it is "partial 16S ribosomal RNA". It matches the Rfam family "Bacterial small subunit ribosomal RNA", at positions 28 to 523 of the family's 1533-position model. The record is from RNAcentral.
GACGAACGCUGGCGGCGUGCUUAACACAUGCAAGUCGAGCGGAAAGGCCACUUCGGUGGUACUCGAGCGGCGAACGGGUGAGUAACACGUGAGUAAUCUGCCCCUGGCUUUGGAAUAGCCACCGGAAACGGUGAUUAAUACCGGAUACGACCACUUCUCGCAUGGGAUGGUGGUGGAAAGUUUUUUCGGCCAGGGAUGUGCUCGCGGCCUAUCAGCUUGAUGGUGAGGUAAUGGCUCACCAUGGCUUCGACGGGUAGCCGGCCUGAGAGGGUGACCGGUCACAGUGGGACUGAGCCACGGCCCAGACUCCUACGGGAGGCAGCAGUGGGGAAUAUUGGACAAUGGGCGGAAGCCUGAUCCAGCAACGCCGCGUGAGGGAUGACGGCCUUCGGGUUGUAAACCUCUUUCAGCAGGGACGAAGCGCAAGUGACGGUACCUGCAGAAGAAGCACCGGCCAACUACGUGCCAGCCGCCGCCGUAA